Molecule: ribosomal RNA, 445 nt
Filed under: uncultured bacterium
Lineage: Bacteria
Description: bacterial SSU rRNA
Rfam family: Bacterial small subunit ribosomal RNA
Source: RNAcentral
GUGAGGAAUAUUGGUCAAUGGGCGAGAGCCUGAACCAGCCAAGUAGCGUGCAGGAUGACGGCCCUAUGGGUUGUAAACUGCUUUUAUAAGGGAAUAAAGUGGGUCACGUGUGACUUUUUGCAUGUACCUUAUGAAUAAGGACCGGCUAAUUCCGUGCCAGCAGCCGCGGUAAUACGGAAGGUCCGGGCGUUAUCCGGAUUUAUUGGGUUUAAAGGGAGCGUAGGCCGGAGAUUAAGCGUGUUGUGAAAUGUAGUGGCUCAACCUCUGCACUGCAGCGCGAACUGGUCUUCUUGAGUACGCACAACGUGGGCGGAAUUCGUGGUGUAGCGGUGAAAUGCUUAGAUAUCACGAAGAACUCCGAUUGCGAAGGCAGCUCACGGGAGCGCAACUGACGCUGAAGCUCGAAAGUGCGGGUAUCGAACAGGAUUAGAUACCCCUGUAGUCC